CUGAAGGUGGAGCAGAGACACGUGGCCACGAGCCACGAAAUGCCCAGAGACACCAGGAGCUGGGAAAAGUGAGGAAUGGAUUCUCCCUCAGCCUUCCAGAGGGAUCGUGGCUCUGCCAGUACCUUGAUUUGGGGCUUCUGGCCUCCAGAACUACAAGAGAGUACGUUUCUCUCGCUUUAAGCCACCAAGUUUGUGAUCGCGUGUUACAACAGCAUCAAGAAAUGAAUAGAGCUUCAUACAAAAAGGUUAGUGCGGUUGUCUCCCCAUCAUGUUUGUGUUCUAGAAAGCUUUUAAGUUACGGGACUCUAUGUCACUAGCAAGGCUCAAAGGAGAAACUUGCUUCUGGUUCUGUAUUUUGCAUCCAGCAUAAGAUAGAUAAACAAGAAAAGCUUCUCUUGUCCAUUCGUGUUUGUUUGUUGAGAGAGGAUGCAAGUAAACCUGCAGGGGAGAGAGGGUGGGGGCAGAGAGAGGAGCAGGGGCUCAUCGAGGCAGGACUCGAGUUCACCCGAAGCGGGACUCAAACUUACGAACCAUAAGAUCAUGACCUGAGCCAAAGUCAGAUGCUUAACCCACUGAGCCACCGGGGAGCCCUCACGUUUGUUUCUUAAUAGCUGGGAUGAGAAUGAGGAAACCUGACGCGCCACCACAGUUAGGUUGGUUCUGGACUAACACGUCCAGCAUUUUCUUUUUAAAUUUUUUUUUCAUUUUGAGAGAGACAGAGAGACAGAAGCCCAAGCAGGCUCCGUGCUGUCCAAUUCAGGGUUUGAACUCACAAACCAUGAGAUCAUGCCCUGAGCCGAAACCCAGAGCUGGAUGCUGAAGCGACUGAGCCACCCAGGCUCCCCAACACGGAUUAUCUACAUUUUUAAUCUCUGGAGGGUGCAAUAGUUUUCCUUCACAAAGACCUAGAUCUGCCUGCGCCCGGCGUUUCAUGUGAAUGGAAGCCUACGGCAUGUGGUCGGCGGUGACUGGCUUCGUUCACUUAACAACGUUUUCAAGGUUUGUCCACGUUGUAGCAUGUACCAGUACCUCGUACUUUUUUAUUGGCAAAUACUUGAUCGUAUGAGUCUACUGCAUUUUAUCCAGCAACUGAAGGACAUUUGGCUUGCUUUUAUGAACUAUGCUGCUACGAAUAUUUGCGUACAAGUUUUUGCGUGAACGUUAAGUUUUCCUUCUGUUGGGUGGGUGUGUACCUAAGGAGGGCAACUGCUGAGUCACAGAGUAACUCUAACCUUUUUGAUUAAGAACGGCCAGACCGGUUCCCCAAGUGGCCAGACCGUUUUACAUCCCCACCAGCAACGCACAAGACUUUCAUCACCUCCAACUUUUUGGUUCUAGCCAUCCUAGUGGGGGGUGAAGCUGAUUUGCAUUUUCCUGAUGACCCGUGACCUUAAGCAUCUUUUCUUGUGCUCAUUGGCCACGGCUACCUGUUUUUGUAAAUACAGGUGAUUGGAACACAGCCACAACUCCUUGUUUAUACGUUGUUGAUGGCUGCUCUUACACUGCAGUGGCAGGGUUGGGUAGCUGUUUUGUGUGUGGCUCCUGAAGAAAAGACGGUCAGGUUCUCGACUUUGGGGUAGACAGGGCAGGCAUUUGAACGCGGGAAGGAAGGAAUCCCUGAUGGAUAGUUUGCCUGUCCGGUGCUCUUCCCAGGUAGAGACGAGCACAGAGAAGCUGAAGUGACAGCAGGGCCAGUGGAAUAAAAAGCCGGAGCCUAAGUAAUUCCAACGGUACUUGCCGACGGCCACUGUAGGGAUGGAAUGCCAGGAUCCGACAGGAAACAAGCUUUCGUGUGGAAGGGUUGGUGUCUCAGGAUGGCAUGUCUUACUGCCGGAAAACAGGGCUGUGACGCUUCCUGUACAGAUUUUGCCAGCCGAGGCUGUGAUCGUAGGCUAGCUCCCCUCCCCGCCCCCACGAGCACGUCUCCAUCUGACUUAGGCACUGUUCACAGGUGGGCAUGUCAGGCUCCUUCCAACUGAGUCACUGCCUCACGCGUUUGGACUGCCUGUCUCUGUUGGGAGUUUUCUGCAUGUUUCCACUUCUUAAAUCCCAGGCUUCCUUCUCUGCUCUGGUGCUCAUGGCCCUGAUUUUAUACCCUCUUUCUUGCCCUUCUGAGGGGGAAAAUAGUGCUUUUCUGCAGUGCCUGGACACUGUAGUUCAGGGAGGCAAGUAGCCCUCAAAUGUCCCCAUUACAUUUUCCCCAGCAUCUUCCUUCACACCCCUCCAUCGAUUGAUCAUAGAAAAGACUCCCCCCCCCUCCCCCGCCCGCCCAAUUUCCUUACUCAAUCUUCAGUGAGGCCUUGGGUUUGCUCUCAGCCCAGGUGAAGCGCUUCAGCAAGGGGGAGGCCAGCAGAGAGCCACUGUCCAUCUGGUAAUCCUGGUGGGGGGGGGGGGGAGGAAAAAGGGUUACACUUCUUGCCUCACCCAGAGGGGGCCACGCUGAGUGUGGGGGGGGGAUAAUACUUGGCUGCACACUCAAAGUCACCCCAAGCUCUGUCCUCACCUGCCUAUUAAGACAAAGCAUUUUCUCCAUAGGGGGCAAAUCUACAUUUUGUUGCAAGCAAUGCCUAUUAUUCCCAGUGACUUGGAGGCCCUUAUUUCCCGAAGGGGAAGGAAAUGCAUUUAAACACAAGGGAAAACUGCAAGUAACAGGUAUAAAAGACAUUUGGGGAACUUACGGAAACCUGAAUAUUUAAUAAUAUUAAGAAACUAUCAAGGGACGCCUGGAUAGCUCAAUUGGUUAAGUGUCUGACUUCGGCUCAGGUCAUGAUCUCCUGGUUCGUGGGUUUGAGCCCUACUUUGGGCUCUGUGCUGACAGCUCAGAGCCUGGAGCCUGCUUCUGAUUCUGUGUCUCCCUCUCUCUCUGCCCCUCCCCUGCUCAUACUCUCUCUCUCUCUCUCUCUCAAAAAUAAAUAAACAUUGAAAAACAGAACUACCAAUUUUUUUCUGUGUGUGAUAAUUUUGAUGUGGUAACACAGGAGAAAGAUCUUACAAGAUUUAGGGUAGAACGUUAUAACGCCCGAAGCUCUCUUUCAAACAGUUGGGCAAAAAGAACCACAUACAUGCAGAGUAUAUGCGUAGAGACAAAAUAGGGCAAAAUGUUAACUGUGUUUGAAUUUGGGAGGUGAGCUUUUUUUUCUGUUUGAAAAUUUUAUAAUGUAAAGCUGAGGAAGGAAAGAAAUCUUACCUGA
Felis catus (domestic cat) is the source of this 3191-nucleotide long non-coding RNA. RefSeq lists it as uncharacterized. The record is from RefSeq and is a predicted model, not a curated record. NCBI's taxonomy places the organism in Eukaryota, Metazoa, Chordata, Mammalia, Carnivora, Felidae. The transcript is spliced from 3 exons.